UACGUAGGGAGCGAGCGUUAUCCGGAUUUAUUGGGCGUAAAGCGUGUGUAGGCGGUUUAUUAAGUCUAAAAUUAAAGCCCGAGGCUUAACCUCGGUUCGUUUUAGAAACUGGUAGACUUGAGUGUGGUAGAGGUAAGUGGAAUUUCUAGUGUAGCGGUUAAAUGCGUAGAUAUUAGAAGGAACACCAGUGGCGAAGGCGGCUUACUGGGCCAUUACUGACGCUGAGACACGAAAGCGUGGGGAGCAAAUAGG
This 252-nucleotide ribosomal RNA is filed under the name uncultured bacterium. Its description in RNAcentral is "partial 16S ribosomal RNA". It matches the Rfam family "Bacterial small subunit ribosomal RNA", at positions 524 to 776 of the family's 1533-position model. The record is from RNAcentral.